Pipra filicauda (Wire-tailed manakin) is the source of this 6364-nucleotide RNA transcript. It is a transcript of the gene named forkhead box D1, with no coding region annotated. Lineage: Eukaryota; Metazoa; Chordata; Aves; Passeriformes; Pipridae. The record is from RefSeq and is a predicted model, not a curated record. The transcript has 2 exons.
GCCGCGCCGGCCGCCACCGAUGCGCUGCCCCGCCGCCGCGCCAUGACCCUGAGCUCGGAGAUGUCCGAGGCGUCGGCGCUGGCUGAGGAGACCGACAUCGAUGUGGUGGGCGAGGAGGACGACGAGGAGGACGACGAGGAGCCGCAGACCCGCCGUCGCCGCCGCUCCUACGCCGAGGACGAGGAGGAGGAGGAGGAGGAAGAGGACGAGGAGGAUGUGGGCGACCUCCACGACGCCGCCCUGCUGCCGCGAUCGUCCGUACGCGGCGGAGGUGGCGGCGGCGGCGGCGGGGCGGGCGGCGGGGACGGUGCCGGCGGCUCUCGGUCCCCCUCGCGGGGUGGCCCCCAGAAGGCGACGGCGAGCGGCGGCGGGGCGGGCGGCGGCGGUGGGGCGGGCGGCGGCGGUAAGAACAGCUUGGUGAAGCCGCCCUACUCCUACAUCGCCCUCAUCACCAUGGCCAUCCUGCAGAGCCCCAAGAAGAGGCUGACGCUGAGUGAGAUCUGCGAGUUCAUCAGCGGGCGCUUCCCCUACUACCGAGAGAAGUUCCCCGCCUGGCAGAAUAGCAUCCGCCACAACCUCUCCCUCAACGACUGCUUCGUCAAGAUUCCCCGGGAGCCCGGCAAUCCUGGCAAGGGCAACUACUGGACGCUGGACCCCGAAUCUGCCGACAUGUUCGACAACGGGAGCUUCCUGCGCCGCCGAAAGCGCUUCAAGCGGCAGCAGCUCCCGGCUCCCGAGCUUCUGCUGCGCGCCGUGGACCCCGCCGCCUUCCUCCCGCAGCCCCCGCCGCAGCCUCCGCAGCAGCCACCCUGCACCUACGGACCCUACGGCUGCGGCUACGGUCUCCAGCUCCAGCCCUACCACCCCCACUCCACUCUCUUCGCCUUCCACCACCCCUCCCCGCCGCCCCGCCAACCGCCCGCCGCCCCUGGCAGCGCCCCCGGUGCGGCGCUGCCCCCCGCCGCCGCCGCGCCGCCGGGCCCCUUGCUGCCGGCGGCGGAGCUGGCACGGACACCCUUCGGCUACGCGCACCCGCUGGGCACGGCGCUGGCGGCCUCGCUGCACUCUGCCAAGCCCGGCAGCGGCGCGGCGCUGGCCCGCUCGCCGUUCUCCAUCGAGAGCAUCAUCGGGGGGGGACCCGGCCCCGGCGCGGGCAGCAGCUGCGCCUCGCAGUCGGCCGCGGCGCCGGGGCUGGCCCGCUCGCUGGGGAGCGCCGGGGGCGGUGUGCCCCCCGCCGCCGCCCUGCCCGCCGCCCCCGGCUUCGCGGCACGGAUCUCUAACUGUUAAGUGUUUGGGAGUCUUUCCGAAGGUAGGAUCUGGGGUAUCUCCUUUCUCCGCCGCUCGGACGCCCGGCGGACGCCGCUCGCAGGGGCUGCCUGUCUUUGCGUGGGGAUAUUGUGACGGGGAUCGGGGGGCGUCCGCCGCGAGCGGCGGACCUCCCGGGACCUGCACGAGUGCAAAGCCAGGUCUAGAUCUAGAUACUGCACGGGCAGGCGGUAACUACAUCGGAAAGUUAUUCGUUACUCCUUAAAAAGUAAAAAAAAAAAAAAAAAAAUGGUGAUAAAUAAUGUCUCUAAACCGUUAAAGUUCAGAGAUUCUCAGGUCUAGGAGCUUGAAAACAGUAAUGUACAGGAAAAAAAAGGCUUGAGGGAGGACAGCAGAGCAAUACUUUUUCAUUUUAGUACACUUGUCUCAUGUACUUUUAUAAAAGAAAAGAUUAACGUGUUUACACAGAAGAAAGUCAAGAUUAUCAUUUCUUAUUUUAACCUGUGUUUUGUAUUAUAAUAGACUUACGGAGUUUUUUAUUUUGUACUUUAUGCUUAUUCUUUACAAGGAAUAUUGUUAAAAAUUACUGGCAAGUAUUGUACCAUUUUAAUGUAAAAUUUUUACACAUUUUCAAAAAUAAAAAUUUUAAUUUUAAAAAAAAAAUCAAAACCAAACCCAAAGACCAAAGGAUUCCAGCCAAAUAAUUGGCUUUGGAUCCUUCCCUCCUUAAUAGUUCUCAUUUCUUUGAGACACUGAUAAUUGUUUUCUUCGGGGUUAAUAGCACAAUAGUCAAGGAAUAUUAUAGCUUGAAAUUCAUUACAUCCGGAUUUAAUCAUAAAGAAGAAGAUCAGAAUAUGGUCUUUGCAGUCAAUGCGUUGUUAACCCUAGCAGAGAAUGAUAGACACCCCCCACAAAGGAAAAAAAAAAACCAAACAAAAAACACAAACAAAAAAACCACCCCAACACAAAACAAACAAAACCAAAAAACCCUAAACAAAAGACUACAAAAAACAUCAGGGACAAAAGAGAAGAUAAAUAGAAAUAGGUCUCUCUGUAAGGCACCAAUCAGGAGAUUGAUUAAAAAGCCGGUUUAAAACUAUUUUUAUACUUUUGGGUGUGUUUUAAAUCACAACUGCAUCACAGUUUUGUUUCCAAGAGGCCCAAAGGAAAAUACUACUACUGACAGGCACGUACUGAACUUAAGACAGAUUUGCCCUAGACACUUAUAUUUCUGUGAUGAUAACAGUGGCCAGUGAUUCUACUUUUCAAUACAUAUAAUAUAAAAUGAGCUUUGGAAUAUCCUUGUGUGAUGAGUUGAUUAAGUGUAUAAGCUGUCGAAUUAAUGAUAUGUAAGUAUAUGGAACAAACCAUGAAAACAGUUUUUCUGAUUCCAAACACUCGUUUUUAACAGCAUAAUGUCAAGAUCUAUUUUAUGGACUAGAAAUUUUUUAACCACAAAGCCGGCCUCAAAUAUUCAGAACUUGGGCAUGGAAAAGAGAAACACAGAUUUUAAGGGUAAGGAUGUGGUUACUUGUUGUGGACUAAGAAUACACGUUUUUCAAACCAGGGAGGCUCUUUUCAAGUACAACUGUAUUUAUAACAAUUGAGGAGACUCGGGGAUCAAUUAUGUGAAUUUUCUUAAUAAAAAGAAUUAUAAAGGGUAGGGGUGCCUUUUAGUGCUCUUUGAAGUGAGGAGGGAAAGGUGGGGUAAAUACAUGCAUUUACAUAUCGAAAUACUUCGUCGCCUUGGCUUUAAGUGUUUUCGUAGAUAGAAAAGUGACGCUUUUCUGUUUGGUUUGUAGCAAGGCAGUGUUAAAUUAGUAGCUUUGAAAAAGCAGAAAGAGUGGACGUAAGAUCUCUGCUCGGCUCCAUUUGCAGUCUGCAACUGGAAGGCUCCUUUGGGUGUCCCGGGUCCAUUAGAAGACGAAGUAGGGUCCGUUUUAAUUUUUGAAACUAAAGGGAAAAUACCCCAGAGACACCGUGUAUGUACCGGUGAUUGCGCGUCUUUUUCACGAGAGACCGAUUAACUCGCUUUCUCCGGGACUGGCCAGGGGAAUGCGCCGGGCCUACGGCCGGUCCAGCGCGGGGUUCCGAGCUCGGCAGAGGCCCCCCUCGGACAGUCGGAUAAAAUCAAGCAGGAAAAGGUUUUGCCGGGGUGAAGGCAGCUGUAGCAACCGAGACCGGCGAUGCCCGGCUCCCCGGGAAGGGACGCUGCCGGCCGUCAGUCUGUAUUCUGGUUUCUCGAGUCCUCGCGCUCUCCACGAGCAGUUACAUGGGAAGAGUAGAUUCCGGCGACCCACCCUGUGUUUGUUUCUGUUGGCUUCCCCGCAGCAGACUCUGGGGAGCCCAGCGACUCCCCUGCGCGGAGCCGGGCCCGGCCCGGCGGGCCGCGGGGUCGAGUGUGCCCGCCGCCUGUCCCUCAGGUCUUGUCAGAGGUGCAUGGCAAGCAAACUGCUUGGCCACUUGUUUCUUCCACGCUUUCCGCCGGUUGCCUUCGUCCCAUACGGACAGGGCCUUCCCUUGCGAGCUGGUAGGGAAGCUGGCAGGAACACUUUGCAGUACGUGGGGUAGGGGAUCGGGGAAGAGGUUUGUGGCGUUGGUGGAGGACCUUUCCGCCUGUUCUCCUCGAGUCGACGGGGAAGCUGCCCGUCCUCGGCCUCGGUUCCGGCGGUCCCUGUUCCCAAGCCGCUGCCCCGGAGCAGGUGCCGCCAGAAAAGACGCCGGCCCCGCAGACUUUUGAUGAGCUCGCAGCACCGCCGGGCCGCAGCGCCUCAUUCGCAUGCUAAUGGCCCGCCGUGGUCUCCACGGCUUUCAAGGCUGGGAGAGAGGACGUGUAGUCCUCGCAAGGACCUAGCCCGGACGAACAAUUCCUCCAAAAUAGUCCGGGCCCUAAUAAACAGUUUGGUAGGACAAGGAGUAUAGUGUCGCCUCCUUCUCCUCCUCCCAGCGGAAAAAGUGUGGAUUCAUUAACCCGUUUCCUUGCUCAUCAUAUCCCAGUAGGGCUGAGACACGAAUUACUGGAUGUGAAUUAGGAGGGGAUUGCUCUAUGAGGGGGCUGAUGUUUCAGUCAGUUCCUCCAGAAGGACCACACAAAAAGAAACUUUUUAGUUUAUGGUGCUAUUAUGCGGAGUUUUAAUCUAGGGAUAGAUUUAGCCAAAUGUUAUCUAUUGGGAAUUUAAUGAAGCCCUUAUGUAUUCAAUCGUCUUUCAUGCCACACACAGUGUCUCUAUCCAGAAACGUUUCCUUCCACAUAUUUCUUUGUUUCUGAUGGGUGAUUUAUAUAUUUUUAAUUAGGUUUUUAAAAAAAUAUUUCUUUUCAAGCAUCUUGUAUAACGUUUCUCUCAAGCAGGACUGUGUUAAGUCCCUUCCCACAUCCCCUAUAAAAGAGGUUUCCCCUUCCCGGUUUCAAAGAUGAUUAGCUUGCACGUCUGCACGCUGUGCCCUUCCUGCCGGAGCAUUCCCGCUGCCUUGUACAGAGGGUCCGGACAUGGUGCCCUCUCGGUCAUCACCGGCGUGGGCUGUGGCGAGCAGCACAGCCCGGGUAUCCGGCCGAGCCCCGAGCCCCCCGUGCACAGAUACCCGGCCCUAAAGUUGCACUCCUCAAAAACCUUCCCCACCCGCAGCUCCCUCGAACCACACCUUUGGUCCUGUUUGUAUUUCUGGUGCCGCGAGAGGCACCCCUGGGGACAGCGAGGUGUCAGCUGGUGCACACCCCGUCUUUGUAGGCUCGUUUCAAGUACCCAGGACCAACUCCAUCCCCGAUUCCGGAGGAUGCAAGUGGGGUGCGAGGCCCUCACCUGCUCUCAGCUGCUCCCUUUCUUUCGGCGCUGGUGGCAAGGGUAAAGCGCACGGUCGCCCCCAUCGAGAGUGAGGCCUCUGCGGGGUAUCUGUUGGAAACUAGAUCUAGUUUAACUGUCCCUUGGCACGGCCCAGAGAUUCCACUCUGUAUGCAAUACUUUCCCGCAGUACUUACAGUAAGUACUGCAGUAGUCUCUGAUAAUAUUGUAUUUGACACAAAUAAUGGAAAUUAUGAUCGUGGCCAAACGCUCCCCGCUCUGGAACUUGCUAACCAAUGUAGAUCCGUUUUUCAGCUUGUUGCCAGUGGCUCCCUCAUCCGCAGCAGUAUUCCUCCCACUUCCCUUGGCACCGGCCACACGCACCAUCGGAAUCCGGGCACGGGCAGGAACCGGCUGCCUUGUGCUCGCAGCCGGGCGCAUCACGAACAGGUAGGUGUCUGCUCGGCCUCCGCCGCCCCUCACCCCCAGGCUCCGAUGAUCUGCCGCAGGUGACUUCAGAGCCUCUACGCCCUUCUCCACAAGUCCUUUCUGCUCUGCAACCCCCACCGUGAGAGCCACGUCGAGCAGCCGCCGUGGGCUCUCUGCUCUCUUCCCGUUCCUGCCCUGCAAGGCACGACCAAGAUGUUUGGGAGACAUUCGCCACAAGUGUGACAACUCUGGUCCCCACCGCCGGCCCCCGCCCGAAGGUGUGCUGUGAACUACCGGCACUGGAGCCACGCCGGACCCCUCCCCGCCGCCCGGCCCAGCUCGCCGCUCAGUUCCCGGCACGCUCCAGAAGAACAGAGGCAAAGGCCGUGGGGCUUGGGGGGUACACACCUCAGCAACCUCAGACCAGCCCGGCUGCAGCAGCAUGGGUGGCACCGAGGGCUGUGCACGACCGCGCAGCGGCGCAGGGCCUCCGCGGCCUCGGCGGUGCUCUGCCCGUGGGAGCGGGGAGGCACCCGGCGGCGUCUCAGCGAGAAUCACCGCAUAAGGCACACAGAAGCUGCACAUUGUAAGAAGAUGGGUUCUAAGCGCAGAGCUCCGGCUCCGCGGACUUUCGCGGCGAGGGACAGAGAGGCACACACUGCGUUCUGCUCCACGGAGGAACCUACCGGCUAGGCCUCGGAGUGCACAAAAACUAGAAAAACAUAUGGACUGGAGCAUACGAAAGGCACUCUUUUUUUUUCCUUUUUCUUUUUUUUUAAGUGCUGAGUCUCGCCAAUUUCAGAAAUUGUACCGCUGAGCUGAAUUCAGAAGGAAAGUUGUGGAUUUUUUUUCAAUCAAAAUAAUUAAACUUGCCCUUCCUCCAAGUCAUAAGA